GGGGAAUAUUGGACAAUGGGCGAAAGCCUGAUCCAGCCAUGCCGCGUGAGUGAUGAAGGCCCUAGGGUUGUAAAGCUCUUUCAACGGUGAAGAUAAUGACGGUAACCGUAGAAGAAGCCCCGGCUAACUUCGUGCCAGCAGCCGCGGUAAUACGAAGGGGGCUAGCGUUGUUCGGAAUUACUGGGCGUAAAGCGCACGUAGGCGGAUUGUUAAGUUAGGGGUGAAAUCCCAGGGCUCAACCCUGGAACUGCCUUUAAUACUGGCAAUCUCGAGUCCGAGAGAGGUGAGUGGAAUUCCGAGUGUAGAGGUGAAAUUCGUAGAUAUUCGGAGGAACACCAGUGGCGAAGGCGGCUCACUGGCUCGGUACUGACGCUGAGGUGCGAAAGCGUGGGGAGCAAACAG
RNAcentral lists this ribosomal RNA (402 nucleotides) under uncultured bacterium. RNAcentral describes it as "bacterial SSU rRNA". It matches the Rfam family "Bacterial small subunit ribosomal RNA", at positions 356 to 775 of the family's 1533-position model. The record is from RNAcentral.